Molecule: ribosomal RNA, 254 nt
Filed under: uncultured bacterium
Lineage: Bacteria
Description: partial 16S ribosomal RNA
Rfam family: Bacterial small subunit ribosomal RNA
Source: RNAcentral
CACGUAGGGGGCGAGCGUUGUCCGGAUUCAUUGGGCGUAAAGAGCUCGUAGGCGGCUCAGUAAGUCGGGUGUGAAACCCUCAGGCUCAACCUGGGGACGCCACUCGAUACUGCUGUGGCUAGAGUCCAGUAGGGGAGUGUGGAAUUCCCGGUGUAGCGGUGAAAUGCGCAGAUAUCGGGAGGAACACCAGCGGCGAAGGCGGGUUGCUGGGCUGACACUGACGCUGAGGCGCGAAAGCCAGGGGAGCGAACGGG